This is a long non-coding RNA of Vespula pensylvanica (western yellowjacket), 818 nucleotides long. RefSeq lists it as uncharacterized. The transcript has 2 exons. Lineage: Eukaryota; Metazoa; Arthropoda; Insecta; Hymenoptera; Vespidae. The record is from RefSeq and is a predicted model, not a curated record.
UUCGUCUUCUUCCUCUUUCUAUCUCUUUUCUAAGGAUUUCCUACUAUGUCGUCUUUUUCUCUUUGAAAUUCCACUUUCCGAUCGAAGUGCAAAGGAGAAAUAUAAAUCUUGAAAUGCCUCAUAUACGAAUGAUCGUUAUCAUAAGUAUAUACAUACGUAACUCUAAUUUUAUAGAUAUGUAAGUAGAAGAAUCGAGGCUAGUAAACCUUGGAGUAUUUUAGUAUUCGUCAGUCUAAAGCGAAUCUUAUCGUACGAAGAUGGCGAUUAUGGUACGGCAGGAAAGGGACUUCCUGCAAUUGCGGGAUGUACACACGUUUGCGAACCGCCUCUCCUUCUUCUUCUUCUUCUUCUUCUUCUUUUCUCUUUAACCUUCUCCUCUUUUCCCCUCUCUUCUUGCAUGACUAACCUAUAGUCAUCCUCGUCUUCGUCUUCGUCGCAGUCGCCGUCGCCGUCGUUGUUAUUGUCAUUGUCGUCGGCGUCGUCAUAAUGCAGUGUCGCGUGGUUAUGUUUCAUAUCUUGUUAGGUUGCAUACAUAUGACAAUAACACGUAUGUAUCUACGUGAAAAGUGAUUGGUCAGAUCGAAAUACCGAUAUCAUUUGACAAAAUCAAGUUUGUAACUACGUAAAUACGUAAGUAAGUUGUUAACAGGUUAAUGUUGGAAAAAAACAAUGACGACGUGACGGCAUAUUUACACACGACGAUGUUUAAUUCUGCGUUUAGUGCAUAUGCGUGGAAUUGCGUAAGCCAUCUUGAAAGUUUACCGUUCCUCCGUUCGAGAAGUCUAUGUUUAAAAUAAUAAGCUUACUUUACAGAAAAA